AAUAAGAUGCCUGAUUAAAGGGUUAUUUUGAUAGAAUAAAUUAAGUAUUAGUUUACUCUUAUUG
This 64-nucleotide transfer RNA is filed under the name Cassianeura bimaculata. Its description in RNAcentral is "tRNA-Ile". The record is from RNAcentral. Lineage: Eukaryota; Metazoa; Arthropoda; Insecta; Hemiptera; Cicadellidae.